UUUCCUACUCAAAGAAAAUCCAAGUUAGACCCUAGGGAUUCGAGGACGAAUCUUUUUCAGGAGGGAGGGAAUGAUAUGAGCCCUAUGGAACAAACUGAGAACUGUCAUAUGCCAAUUGGUCCAAUUACAAGAGCAACAACUAAGAGAAUAAAAGAAGGUUUUGCAAACAUGGCUAAAUCAUGUGUUCAGGAGAUGCAUCAAGAAUUGGGCAAGACAAUGAUUAACCACACGUCUUACUAUUUUACAAGAUGCAUUGAAGACUCUCAUUAGUCAAGAUGAAUUAAAAGAGACAUCACUUUCUUAGAAUUUAUUCUAUGUUUAUUUUAUUUUUGUUAUUUGUUUGUUUUAGGCCCAAUUAUGAUUUGGCCCAUAUUUUAUUCUAGUGAACUUAUGAGUUAGGGAUUUAAAUUUAAGAGGUAUAAAAACCCUCUAAACCCUGGUAGCCAUUUUUUUUAAUUUUGAUGAAUGAAAUUUUUUUUGAGUUUCUUUGAGAAACUUGGGUGUGAACAGGUGAGGUAGAGUGAUUCCCUUAACUGUUGCAUCA
Arachis ipaensis is the source of this 544-nucleotide non-coding RNA. The record is from RefSeq and is a predicted model, not a curated record. NCBI's taxonomy places the organism in Eukaryota, Viridiplantae, Streptophyta, Magnoliopsida, Fabales, Fabaceae.